Scylla paramamosain (green mud crab) is the source of this 994-nucleotide long non-coding RNA. RefSeq lists it as uncharacterized. The transcript has 2 exons. The record is from RefSeq and is a predicted model, not a curated record. Lineage: Eukaryota; Metazoa; Arthropoda; Malacostraca; Decapoda; Portunidae.
GUGUGUGUGUGUGUCCUGAUGGCGUCAGGCGAGGGAAAGCGAGAGGGAAAGCACGAAUAUAUAUACACCUGGCCACGCGGGUCUCGACACACCUGCAAGCAACGCGUCAACCAUCAGUUUUUUGCCAGUCAGCCAUACGGAGGACUGAAUCAUGCGCUGUCUCACUCUCUUGACCCUGGCGGUGUAUGUGACUCUCUCCCUCGCUAGACCGCCGCAGGAACUCACGCUCAGGGACAGAAACGGAAAGAUACUGGUAUUUGUCUUUCCGGAGUCAGCAGGAAACUUAUACGGGCAAGGAGAUACAACGCAUGGCGGGGAAACAUCAUCAACAACAGAAACAACAGGGGAAUCAGGAACAACAGAAGCAUCAGGAACAACAGAAGCAUCAGGAACAACAGAAGCAUCAGGAACAACAGAAGCAUCAGGAACAACAGAAGCAUCAGGAACAACAGAAGCAUCAGGAACAACAGAAGCAACAGGAACAACAGAAGCAACAGGAACAACAGAAACAUCACAUGGGACGACCCAGCAUAAUGGAGGAGAAAAUGUUGAAGAGGGUGGUACGGUACAUGAGAAUAGUAACCCAAUUUAUGCAACUGAAACAACUUGUAUGGGUAUUGUUUGUCGGACGAAGAUACUGAAUUAGUGUAGGUGUUUUGUUAUUAUUGUUGUUGUAGUUGUUGUUGUUGUUGAUUUGUUUGAACACGUACGUAAACAAUGGUAACCGAGUGUCACAUUUAAAGCAAAUUAUGUCAGACGAUGGUAUUUAAUUAGUGCAGGUGUUAUUUGUUGUUAUUGUUAUUAUUGUUGUUGUUGAUUUACCUUGUAUAUUUUUUUAUUUUAUUUUGUUUUGUUGUUUUUGUAAUACUUUCCACCUCAUUCCCAGUGUCACUACACGUGUAUUUUAAGUCAUAUAUAAAUUUAUCUGCACUUUGCAUUUGUGUUAUGUAUCUCUCUAUUAUUUUACUAAGGUGAAUAAACCAUUACAAUUUUU